UGGCUCAGUGGUUAAGAGCACUGGAUGUACUUCCAGAAGUCUUGAGUUCAAUUCUCAU
Molecule: transfer RNA, 58 nt
Filed under: Rattus norvegicus (Norway rat)
Lineage: Eukaryota; Metazoa; Chordata; Mammalia; Rodentia; Muridae
Source: Rfam by way of RNAcentral